RNAcentral lists this ribosomal RNA (427 nucleotides) under uncultured Arenimonas sp. RNAcentral's name for it is "bacterial SSU rRNA". It matches the Rfam family "Bacterial small subunit ribosomal RNA", at positions 355 to 774 of the family's 1533-position model. Lineage: Bacteria; Pseudomonadati; Pseudomonadota; Gammaproteobacteria; Lysobacterales; Lysobacteraceae. The record is from RNAcentral.
UGGGGAAUAUUGGACAAUGGGCGCAAGCCUGAUCCAGCCAUGCCGCGUGUGUGAAGAAGGCCUUCGGGUUGUAAAGCACUUUUGUUGGGGAAGAAAAGCACUGGGUUAAUACCCUGGUGUUCUGACGGUACCCAAAGAAUAAGCACCGGCUAACUUCGUGCCAGCAGCCGCGGUAAUACGAAGGGUGCAAGCGUUACUCGGAAUUACUGGGCGUAAAGCGUGCGUAGGUGGUGAGUUAAGUCUGUCGUGAAAGCCCCGGGCUCAACCUGGGAAUGGCGAUGGAUACUGGCUCGCUAGAGUGCGGUAGAGGAGAGUGGAAUUCCCGGUGUAGCAGUGAAAUGCGUAGAGAUCGGGAGGAACAUCAGUUGCGAAGGCGGCUCUCUGGACCAGCACUGACACUGAGGCACGAAAGCGUGGGGAGCAAACA